AUAAGGCAUGCAAGUCGUGCGAGUCUUGUGCUUUGCACAAGGCUAGCGGCGAACGGGUUAGUAACACGUGGGUUAUCUGCCUCAAUGCCAGGGAUAGCCUCGCGAAAGCGGGGGUAAUACCUGAUAGUUCGAGCAUAUUUUGCUCGAUAAAGCCGAAAGGCGCAUUGGGAGGAGCCCGCGGCCUAUCAGCUAGUUGGUAGGGUAAUGGCCUACCAAGGCGAUGACGGGUAGGGGGCGUGAGAGCGUGACCCCCAACAAGGGCACUGAGACACGGGCCCUACUCCUACGGGAGGCUGCAGUCGAGAAUCUUGGACAAUGGGCGAAAGCCUGAUCCAGUGAUGCCGCGUGCGGGACGAAGACCUUCGGGUUGUAAACCGCUUUUCUUGGGGAAGAACCAAGUUUUACUACUUGGUGACGGUACCCAAGGAAUAAGGGGUGACUAAACUCGUGCCAGCAGUAGCGGUAAUACGAGUGCCCCAAGCGUUAUCCGGAAUCACUGGGCGUAAAGCGUCCGUAGGCGUCCUAUCAAGUUUCUUGUUAUCUCCAGUGCUCAACAUUGGAGGAGCAAGAAAAACUGAUAGGAUAGAGGAUAUCAGAGGCCGGUGGAACUCACGGAGUAGGGGUGAAAUCCGUUGAUACCGUGGGGAACACCGAAAGCGAAGGCAGCCGGCUAGGGUAUUCCUGACGCUGAGGGACGAAAGCNUGGGGAGAGAACGGGAUUAGAUACCCCGGUAUUNCACGCCGUAAACGAUGCUGACUAGGUAUUUNGAGUGUCGACCCUCGGAGUGCCGAAGCUAACGCGUUAAGUCAGCCGCCUGGYAAGUACGGCCGCAAGGCUAAAACUCACAGGAAUAGACGGGGGCUCACACAAGCGGUGGACCACGUGGCUUAAUUCGAUGAUAAGCGAAGAACCUUACCAGGGCUUGACAUGCUAGGAUGUACGUCGGCGGAAACGUCGGCGGACCGUCAAUUCGGAGCCUAGCACAGGUGCUGCAUGGUUGUCGUCAGCUCGUGCCGUGAGGUGUA
Molecule: ribosomal RNA, 1026 nt
Filed under: uncultured bacterium
Lineage: Bacteria
Description: bacterial SSU rRNA
Rfam family: Bacterial small subunit ribosomal RNA
Source: RNAcentral